GAUUCCCUCAGUAGCGGCGAGCGAAGCGGGAAUAGACCGAGAUGAAAAUCCCUUCGGGGAGUUGUAAUCUGAGCAAUGUUGAGGGUUCAGUGAAUGUAAGUCACAUGAAAUUGUGUACCGUGGAGGGUGAGAGUCCCGUCCAGCAUUCACAGGAACUUCUCGUACGACAUUGUCUCAACCGAGUCGGGUAGCUUGAGAACGCUGCUCUAAUAGGUGGUAAACUUCAUCUAAGUCUAAAUACAUGUGGGAGACCGAUAGCGAACAAGUACCGUGAGGGAAAGAUGGAAAGCACUUUGAAAAGAGGGUGAAAAGUACCUGAAACCGCCAGGGGGGAAGCGAAUUGCAUCAGUGCAGAUUAGUGGUGUUCAGCAGAUCUUGAAAUUUUUUGGGUUUUGUGUACUCAUUACUAAGCUAUGUCGUGAUGGCUGUUGAGUUAUGGAUUAUGCAUGAUUUGAUGGUGAGGGCUCCCUUUCUUAGGUGAGGAUCUCGACAAAAUGAUGCGACUCGACCCGUCUUGAAACACGGACCAAGGAGUUUAGCACUACUGCGAGUCGAAGGGUGUGGAAACCUAGAGGCGAAGUGAAAGCGAAUAUUAUAUUGAAAUCUGUUCAGAUUGAGGAGGUGUUGAGUCUUUGACGAAAUAUCCUACCUGGAGCAGUAGUGCUGAGACCCGAAAGAUGGUGAACUAUGCUGGAGUAGGGCAAAGCCAGAGGAAACUCUGGUGGAGGCUCGUAGCGAUGCUGACGUGCAAAUCGCUCGUCGAACUUGAGUAUAGGGGCGAAAGACUAAUCGAACCAUCUAGUAGCUGGUUCCCUCCGAAGUUUCUCUCAGGAUAGCGGGCCGACGAUGUGGGGUUGUUUUGUGUGGUAAAGCGAAUGAUUAGCGUAUUUGGGGAUGUAAUGUCUUCGGUCGAUUCUCAAACUUUAAAUACGCAAGAAAGAAAAGGAUGCUUGGUUGAUCCAUUCUUUAUGAAAACGUCGGCCCUGUGGGCCACUUUUGGUAAGCAGAACUGGCGAUAUGGGAUGAACCAUAAGUUUGGUUAAGGCGUCAAAAUCUCCGCUUAAAGAUCCCACAAAAGGUGUUGGUUCAUAUAGACAGCAGGACGGUGGCCAUGAAGUCGAAUCCGAGUCGGAAUCCGCUAAGGAGUGUGUAACAACUCACCUGCCGAAUGAACUAGCCCUGAAAAUGGAUGACGCUUAAGCGGAGUGCCGACACCAGACCGUUUUGGUAAGAAGUGACCAAAAUGAGUAGGAGGGCGUGGUGAUUUUGUUCAGAAGGGUGAGACGUAAGUCUACCUGAAACGGUCGCUAGUGCAGAUCUUGGUGGUAGUAGCAAAUAUUUAAGCGAGAUCCUUAAAGGGCGAAGCGGGGAAGGGUUCCACGCGAACAUUGAUUGGGCGUGGGUGAGUCGUUCCUAAGCCGGGUGGUAAUCGUUCUUACGAUCGGCGAAAGGGAAGUUGGUUAAAAUUCCAACACACGGAUGUGGAGGCGGCGACGCAAAUUGAGGUGGAGACGCUAACGGUGACACUGGGCAGAGUUUUCUUUUCUGUUUAACCUGUGCUGCACUCUGUGGAAUCCGAUUAUCGGGAGAAACAGGUGCCUUGUGGGAAGAGCGUCGGGGGGUCCCCGGCGUCCAGUACGUCACCGAUAGCCCUUGAAAAUCCAUCUGCAAUCUAAUUUCACGCCGUGGCGUACCGAUAACCGCAGCAGGUCCCCAAGGUGAACAGCCUCUGCUCAAUAUGAACAAUGCAGGUAAGGGAAGUCGGCAAAAUAGACCCGUAACUUUGGGAAAAGGGUUGGCUCUAGUGGGGCGAAGGAAAAACCUGGGCUGUAGCGAUUUGGGGUUGGUGGUCUGAUAAAGUUAAGUUGUGGUUUUAAAUGACUUUGGCUUUGACGGAUCCCUUCUCUGAGUUGUUAUGGUUCGACCUUCAACAUGCUCCAAACUAGAACUGCAACGGGCAAAGGGAAUCCGACUGUUUAAUUAAAACAAAGCAUUGCGAUGGCCGAGGUCGGUGUAGACGCAAUGUGAUUUGCAACCGGCCAAGGGAAUCCGACUGUUUAAUUAAAACAAAGCAUUGCGAUGGCCGAGGUCGGUGUAGACGCAAUGUGAUUUCUGCUCAGUGCUCUGAAUGUCAAAGUGAAGAGAUUCAAACAAGCGCGGGUAAACAGCGGGAGUAACUAUGACUCUCUUAAGGUAGCCAAAUGCCUCGUCAUCUAAUUAGUGACGCGCAUGAAUGGAUUAACGAGAUUCCUACUGUCCCUAUCUGCUUCUAGCGAAACCACAGCCGAGGGAACGGGCUCGGCAAAAUCGGCGGGGAAAGAAGACCCUGUUGAGCUUGACUCUAUUCUAAUUUUGUGACGCAAGUUAGGAGGUGUAGCAUAGGUGGGAGACUUUUGUCGCCAAUGAAAUACCACUACUCUUAAUCUUGUUUUACUUAUGGCGUUAGACUGCACGACCUUUAUGGUCUAUUUUGGCAUCAACUUGGAAAAUGUUAUAUGCUCCGCACUACCUUGUGUGUGCGGAGUAAUAUCCCCUUGGAGCAGCGCGCCUGACAUAUUUAGGAGGGGAGUUUGGCUGGGGCGGCACAUCUUCUACAAGACAACGAAGGUGUCCAAAGAUAAGCUCAGUGAGAACAGAAAUCUCACGUAGCGCAAAAGGGUAAAAGCUUGUUUGAUUUUGAUUUUCAGUGUGAGUUAAAAAUACGAAAGUAUGGCCUAUCGAUCCUUUCAUAUUUCGAGGUUUGAAGCGAGA
RNAcentral lists this ribosomal RNA (2751 nucleotides) under Corallinales sp. RNAcentral's name for it is "partial 28S ribosomal RNA". It matches the Rfam family "Eukaryotic large subunit ribosomal RNA", at positions 73 to 2801 of the family's 3401-position model. The record is from RNAcentral. Lineage: Eukaryota; Rhodophyta; Florideophyceae; Corallinales.